CUGGAAGCCAGUUGCCUCAGCCCAAGGUUUCACAGUCCAUUCAAACACAGGCUCAAGGGAAAAUUUUCAGAACUCUGUAUUACAAAUGCCUCUCCGAACUCAAACCAUUUGGUUGCAUUUUUAACCACCUCUAGACUGUCCCAGGGGUAACAAGGUAAGCUAGUAUGAACUGUUUCCU
Balaenoptera acutorostrata (minke whale) is the source of this 178-nucleotide long non-coding RNA. RefSeq lists it as uncharacterized. Lineage: Eukaryota; Metazoa; Chordata; Mammalia; Artiodactyla; Balaenopteridae. The record is from RefSeq and is a predicted model, not a curated record. The transcript has 3 exons.